AAACUAACAAGGAUUCCCCUAGUAGCGGCGAGCGAAGCGGGAAGAGCUCAAAUUUAUAAUCUGGCACUUUCAGUGUCCGAGUUGUAAUCUCUAGAAGUGUUUUCCGCAUUGGACCGCACACAAGUCUGUUGGAAUACAGCGGCACAGUGGUGAGACCCCCGUAUACGGUGCGGAUGCCCAAUGCUUUGUGAUACACUUUCGAAGAGUCGAGUUGUUUGGGAAUGCAGCUCAAAUCGGGUGGUAAAUUCCAUCUAAAGCUAAAUAUUGGCGAGAGACCGAUAGCGAACAAGUACCGUGAGGGAAAGAUGAAAAGCACUUUGGAAAGAGAGUUAACAGUACGUGAAAUUGUUGGAAGGGAAACGCUUGAAGUCAGACUUGCUAUUCGGGGCUUGCUCCGAGUUGCAGGCCAGCAUCAGUUUUCUGGGGUGGAAAAUCACGGUUAGAAGGUAGCAACUUCGGUUGUGUUAUAGCUUUCCGUUGGAUACAUCCUGGGGGACUGAGGAACGCAGUGUGCUUUUAGCAGGAGCUUCGGCUUCAUCACACUUAGGAUGCUGGUGGAAUGGCUUUAAACGAC
RNAcentral lists this ribosomal RNA (574 nucleotides) under Rhodosporidiobolus odoratus. RNAcentral's name for it is "eukaryotic LSU rRNA". It matches the Rfam family "Eukaryotic large subunit ribosomal RNA", at positions 62 to 648 of the family's 3401-position model. Lineage: Eukaryota; Fungi; Basidiomycota; Microbotryomycetes; Sporidiobolales; Sporidiobolaceae. The record is from RNAcentral.